This 66-nucleotide transfer RNA is filed under the name Abies koreana. RNAcentral describes it as "tRNA-Asp". It matches the Rfam family "tRNA", at positions 5 to 66 of the family's 71-position model. From Rfam's summary of the family: Transfer RNA (tRNA) molecules are approximately 80 nucleotides in length. Their secondary structure includes four short double-helical elements and three loops (D, anti-codon, and T loops). Lineage: Eukaryota; Viridiplantae; Streptophyta; Pinopsida; Pinales; Pinaceae. The record is from RNAcentral.
GAAAUAGCUCAGUCGGUUAGAGUGCUGGUCUGUCACGCCAGAAGUCGCGGGUUCGAACCCCGUUUU